RNAcentral lists this ribosomal RNA (301 nucleotides) under uncultured bacterium. RNAcentral describes it as "partial 16S ribosomal RNA". It matches the Rfam family "Bacterial small subunit ribosomal RNA", at positions 509 to 809 of the family's 1533-position model. The record is from RNAcentral.
CAGCAGCCGCGGUAAUACGGAGGGUGCAAGCGUUAAUCGGAAUUACUGGGCGUAAAGCGCACGCAGGCGGUCUGACAAGUCAGAUGUGAAAUCCCCGGGCUUAACCUGGGAACUGCAUUUGAAACUGUCAGGCUGGAGUCUUGUAGAGGGGGGUGGAAUUCCAGGUGUAGCGGUGAAAUGCGUAGAGAUCUGGAGGAAUACCGGUGGCGAAGGCGGCCCCCUGGACAAAGACUGACGCUCAGGUGCGAAAGCGUGGGGAGCAAACAGGAUUAGAUACCCGGGUAGUCCCUGUCUCUUAUAU